This 382-nucleotide ribosomal RNA is filed under the name uncultured bacterium. RNAcentral describes it as "bacterial SSU rRNA". It matches the Rfam family "Bacterial small subunit ribosomal RNA", at positions 28 to 404 of the family's 1533-position model. The record is from RNAcentral.
GACGAACGCUGGCGGCGUGCUUAACACAUGCAAGUGGGGCGACGAACCAGGCUUCGGCCUGGGGCAAAGCCGCGAACGGGUGAGUAACACGUGGAUAACCUGCCCCGAAGACCGGGACAACCCGGGGAAACCCGAGCUAAUACCGGAUGUGGUCACCGUCCAUAAGGACGAUGAGCAAAGGAAGCUUCGGCCUCCGCUUCGGGAGGGUCCGCGGCCCAUUAGCUUGUUGGUGAGGUAACGGCUCACCAAGGCAACGAUGGGUAGCUGGUCUGAGAGGACGAUCAGCCACACUGGGACUGAGACACGGCCCAGACUCCUACGGGAGGCAGCAGUGGGGAAUCUUGCGCAAUGGGCGAAAGCCUGACGCAGCGACGCCGCGUGA